CAAGGUUAAGCAGCUAAUGUGGAGCCGUAGCGAAAGCGAGUCUGAAUAGGGCGUUGAGUAUUUGGUCGUAGACCCGAAACCAGGUGAUCUACCCAUGGCCAGGAUGAAGGUGCGGUAACACGCCCUGGAGGUCCGAACCCACUAAUGUUGAAAAAUUAGGGGAUGACUUGUGGAUCGGAGUGAAAGGCUAAUCAAGCUCGGAGAUAGCUGGUUCUCCUCGAAAGCUAUUUAGGUAGCGCCUCGGACGAAUACUACUGGGGGUAGAGCACUGUUAUGGCUAGGGGGUCAUCGCGACUUACCAAACCAUUGCAAACUCCGAAUACCAGUACGUACUAUCCGGGAGACACACGGCGGGUGCUAACGUCCGUCGUGAAAAGGGAAACAACCCAGACCCACAGCUAAGGUCCCAAAUUCACUGCUAAGUGGAAAACGAUGUGGAAAGGCAUAGACAGCCAGGAGGUUGGCUUAGAAGCAGCCACCCUUUAAAGAAAGCGUAAUAGCUCACUAGUCGAGUCGGCCUGCGCGGAAGAUGUAACGGGGCUCAAACCAUGCACCGAAGCUACGGGUAUCAUCUUCGGAUGAUGCGGUAGAGGAGCGUUCUGUAAGCCUGUGAAGGUGAGUUGAGAAGCUUGCUGGAGGUAUCAGAAGUGCGAAUGCUGACAUGAGUAACGAUAA
Molecule: ribosomal RNA, 675 nt
Filed under: Aurantiochytrium limacinum
Lineage: Eukaryota; Bigyra; Thraustochytrida; Thraustochytriidae
Description: partial Bacterial large subunit ribosomal RNA
Rfam family: Bacterial large subunit ribosomal RNA
Source: RNAcentral